RNAcentral lists this ribosomal RNA (406 nucleotides) under uncultured Actinomycetes bacterium. RNAcentral describes it as "bacterial SSU rRNA". It matches the Rfam family "Bacterial small subunit ribosomal RNA", at positions 9 to 416 of the family's 1533-position model. Lineage: Bacteria; Bacillati; Actinomycetota; Actinomycetes. The record is from RNAcentral.
GAGUUUGAUCGUGGCUCAGGACGAACGCUGGCGGCGUGCUUAACACAUGCAAGUCGAGCGGUAAGGCCCCUUCGGGGUACGACGAGCGGCGAACGGGUGAGUAACACGUGGGUGAUCUGCCCUGCACUUCGGGAUAAGCCUGGGAAACUGGGUCUAAUACCGGAUAUGACCAAAGGCUGCAUGGCUUUUGGUGGAAAGGUUUACUGGUGCAGGAUGGGCCCGCGGCCUAUCAGCUUGUUGGUGGGGUAAUGGCCUACCAAGGCGACGACGGGUAGCCGACCUGAGAGGGUGACCGGCCACACUGGGACUGAGACACGGCCCAGACUCCUACGGGAGGCAGCAGUGGGGGAAUAUUGCACAAUGGGCGAAAGCCUGAUGCAGCGACGCCGCGUGAGGGAUGACGGCC